AGGCGCGUAGCUCAGCUUGGUUAGAGCGCUACCUUGACAUGGUAGAGGUCGUUGGUUCGAGUCCAAUCGCGCCUACCA
RNAcentral lists this transfer RNA (78 nucleotides) under Gammaproteobacteria bacterium. RNAcentral's name for it is "tRNA-Val". It matches the Rfam family "tRNA". Rfam says of the family: Transfer RNA (tRNA) molecules are approximately 80 nucleotides in length. Their secondary structure includes four short double-helical elements and three loops (D, anti-codon, and T loops). Lineage: Bacteria; Pseudomonadati; Pseudomonadota; Gammaproteobacteria. The record is from RNAcentral.